RNAcentral lists this transfer RNA (775 nucleotides) under uncultured cyanobacterium. RNAcentral's name for it is "partial contains 16S ribosomal RNA, 16S-23S ribosomal RNA intergenic spacer, and 23S ribosomal RNA". The stretch from base 268 to 340 matches the Rfam family "tRNA". The record is from RNAcentral. Lineage: Bacteria; Bacillati; Cyanobacteriota.
CAGGGAGACAACACAAUGAUUUUGAUGCCUGAGUGCUUUUAUUCUUAGGCCGAAAUCCUGUCACCUUAGGUCGAUCGGUACCUCAGCUUUGAAGUUAAGGAUCAGCAGCAAUGUUGAUUGCUUGAUGGAGAUUUUCAGUUCCUAAACUUUGUCUAGGUCACACCCCAAAAGGGAUGAGACUCCUGGGCCAUUAGCUCAGGUGGUUAGAGCGCACCCCUGAUAAGGGUGAGGUCCCUGGUUCAAGUCCAGGAUGGCCCAUUCGGUGUUGGGGGUUUAGCUCAGUUGGUAGAGCGCCUGCUUUGCAAGCAGGAUGUCAGGAGUUCGAGUCUCCUAACCUCCACUGACCGAACUUGAUUCCCAUCUCCAAUUUUUUUGGAGUUGAGCUCGAUUGGAGUGUGAUUUAGAAGUGUCCGCUGGAUGACCCCAGCUUCCUGUCAUUCCAAGUUUUAGGUUGAUGCCUUGAAUUUGGUUGAUAAGAUGCUGGGCUCGGAUCAAAUGAUCAAGCAAUUGAUGAUUUGAUUUGAAGUUCUAGCAGAACCUUGACAACUGCAUAGGUGAGUCUGGAAAAAACAAAGCAUCUUACAGAUGCAUUGUUUUGAAUCUGAUCUUCUGAAAGGGAGAUUGGAUCUAGAACAAUGAAAAUUCUUUUGAGCAAGAGCCGAGACUCUUGAACGUUCUUUGAUUGGUGUCGAGCCAAUCAGAGUUUGAUCUUGUUUUUAGCAAUAAAAACUUGAGAAUCUGCUUUCAACGGCGGUAAGCGUUCAGGAGGUUAAUU